AUGAUCAGCUGUCUUCUCCCCCGGUGAUUUCCCAAGCUGAACCAUCUCUCCAGGUGACCACAUCUACCCAAUGUAGGUGCGACCCCCUUCUCCUUCUAGAAUUUAAUUAGAAUCAUCAAUGCCUUAUAUUAUCAUGAAAAAAAUAUUAACUGGGCAUGGUGCAGCAGCAUGCCUUUGGUCCCAGGUAUUCAGGAGGCUGAGGGGAUUGCCUGAGCCAGGAGACCGAGGCUAUAGUGUGCUGUGGUUGCACUUAUGAGCAGACACUGCACUCCAGCCUGGGCAACAUAGCAAGACCCUGUCUCUACUAAAA
Long non-coding RNA from Cebus imitator (Panamanian white-faced capuchin), 310 nucleotides. RefSeq lists it as uncharacterized. Lineage: Eukaryota; Metazoa; Chordata; Mammalia; Primates; Cebidae. The transcript has 3 exons. The record is from RefSeq and is a predicted model, not a curated record.